UUUCCAUCAAACUAUAUCUCCAAUGACAUAACAUUGACUUGAAGAACAAUUUUUCCAUCUAACACGAGUCAUCUGAUGAUCAACGUUGUUAAUGUAGCACUAACGUUACCCCCUAUACAAAAACUAGAUCAAUUAAUCUUUCACCUUGCAUAAAUCAGAAAUGGUCUUCCCAAAGAAACACUCCACGGUUGCACGACGUUACAAAAAAAGUGCAGUGAUGCACCCAAAAUGAUGAGAAAGUAAUAAUUCAGUUCCUUAGGAAUGCUACAGUUGCUACACGCGAGCCUACGGAUCCUCCAAAUGUGAAUGUAGGAUAUGUGCGAACGUGAUCGAGAUAGCGGAAAGGAGGAGGAUCUACUGAGGCUUCGACUGUUCCUGGUCUUUGACAAGCAACCCUUCUUUGAUUGAGAGUAUCCACUUCUUCUACCAAUUCAUCUUUUGUACUAUUACAUGAAGUAAUUACCAAUAAUCCACCAGGAGCGACAAGCCUUGAAACAGAGUCCCAGUAGAUAAUCCUUUUGAUAGGACCAUCAGGAUGCAAUCCAAUGGCAUCUAAGGUCCCCUUAUCCAUAACUAGCUGAAACCUUUUAUCCAAUUUUGUCUCAAGAAUGUCAUCAACCAAGAACUUGACAUUGGUGAAACCAUCACGAUCAGCAAGGCUUCUUGCAAGGUCAACUGCUCCUUCACUAUAGUCAGUUCCAGUGAGAUCAGAGAACCCUUGUUUAGCAAGCUCUUGGAGAAGCAGACCAUUGCCAGUCCCAAUAUCAAGCACACUCCAACCUGAAAUGUCAAUCUCACGCUGCCCAACAGGCUCAGAAUCGGCAUCAGCUACGUGAUUUGGCAAAUGACUCUUGCAAAUGUCCAUGCACAAACCUUUGGUCCAUGAGACAACAUUUUCCAUAACGUCACCACCAAACCAAACUUCACCAGUGUGACCAUGCUCACGAAAGUUUGUCAAUUCAUCGGCGUAAGCAGCAUCCCAAUAGCUUUGGAAACCAAGCAUUGAAGAAACUCCUUCACCUUCCUGCUCAUCCUUGUCAGAACUGUAAUCGGCUCGGUAGUUAAGAGCUUCAGUAGCAUCAGCGUGGCGCUGCUCAUCAUCGAGAGUACUUCCGUAUUCGCUCUUUAUGGACCACGAAUCGGCCGCCACAGAGCGGUCGUCGUCGGAAAUCAGAUCGGCUGCUGCCGCUGGUCGGACCUGCGCGACGUCGGGGUCCUCCGGUAACAGUCUCAUCCCGGCCAUGUGUGAUGAAUCGAGAUGAAAAACCCUAAAGAGAAGAGGAAGGGAGAGAGAGGAGUGUGAUGUACGUUGGAGGAGUUGACAAAAAAUGAC
This 1333-nucleotide unclassified non-coding RNA is filed under the name Hevea brasiliensis (rubber tree). The record is from RNAcentral. Lineage: Eukaryota; Viridiplantae; Streptophyta; Magnoliopsida; Malpighiales; Euphorbiaceae.